RNAcentral lists this transfer RNA (58 nucleotides) under Macrocheles nataliae. RNAcentral's name for it is "tRNA-Lys". The record is from RNAcentral. Lineage: Eukaryota; Metazoa; Arthropoda; Arachnida; Mesostigmata; Macrochelidae.
GAUUUUAAGUUAAAAAAACUAUUUACCUUUUAAGUAAAAAUUAUUAUAUUAUAAAUCU